Long non-coding RNA from Corapipo altera (White-ruffed manakin), 664 nucleotides. RefSeq lists it as uncharacterized. NCBI's taxonomy places the organism in Eukaryota, Metazoa, Chordata, Aves, Passeriformes, Pipridae. The transcript is spliced from 4 exons. The record is from RefSeq and is a predicted model, not a curated record.
AGGAAUGCCAUCAGCUACACAAGUUAAAACUGCACCUUAAUUACCAAGUCAUGCUGUUUUUCUCCAAGCAAUCUUAUCGUGAACUUUUUAAACAGAUAUAAAAGCAGUGGCCCAUUCAGUCAGACUAAAGAAUAACUGGGGAGAGAGUUGCUGAAGAGAUCAUGAGCAACAUUAAACUGGAUAAGUUAAAAUCUAUCUGGAACUAUUCGUGUGCCUUUCUUGUACCUGCGCUUCUGUUGCAGGGCUGAGUAUAAGCUAGUCCUCUUCCUUCUAGGACUCCUUGGCUACACCCAAUCUGCAGAAAUUGGGCUGGUGAACUGACUCCAGCCCAGUUUGCCCACCUUGGUGUCUCACUAAGAAUAAAUCAGGCUGAGUGGGAUCAUUAGCAUGUAUAUUUCCAGUUGGUGGUUAACAGAAUGGGAUUUACUGCAGCAGCUCUGUAUGCUGAGAAUGACACCAUACAGUCUGGGAUCUCUUUGGUCAGUUGGAGGUCAGUGGUCCCAGCUGCAUCCCCUCGUUGUGCACCCCAAGCCUGCAUGACUGGUGCUGAGAAUCACACAGUGUUUGAGACUGGAAGAGAACUCUGGAGGUCAUUGAGUCAACCCUACUGCUUCUCAAGCCAUGCCGCCUAGAGCAUGUUGUCCAGGGCUUUUGAAUAUCUCCA